CAACUUUCAACAACGGAUCUCUUGGUUCUGGCAUCGAUGAAGAACGCAGCGAAAUGCGAUAAGUAGUGUGAAUUGCAGAAUUCAGUGAAUCAUCGAAUCUUUGAACGCACAUUGCGCCCUUUGGUAUUCCAAAGGGCAUGCCUGUUCGAGCGUCAU
Molecule: ribosomal RNA, 156 nt
Filed under: Alternaria alternata
Lineage: Eukaryota; Fungi; Ascomycota; Dothideomycetes; Pleosporales; Pleosporaceae
Also listed under: 17 other names
Description: 5.8S ribosomal RNA
Rfam family: 5.8S ribosomal RNA
About the family: 5.8S ribosomal RNA (5.8S rRNA) is a component of the large subunit of the eukaryotic ribosome. It is transcribed by RNA polymerase I as part of the 45S precursor that also contains 18S and 28S rRNA. Functionally, it is thought that 5.8S rRNA may be involved in ribosome translocation.
Source: RNAcentral